AAGUGGUUGAGUCACUAUCUUCAAUUAGUGUUCUAAAAAACAAGGGGAUUGUGCAUGUCAGCACUUGCUUGGGUUACUUCUGAACAGCAAUAUUGCUAGAGUUCAUUUGGCUUAUCACAAAUGAGUGCACAGAUCUCAAGAAAGUAUGCCUAAUGAAGGAAAGAACUCAGGGAAUGAGAGGGGUGAAAGAAGAAGGAAGAGGAGCGUGAGGAGCACAGACCUGAAAACAGCAAGAGGGGCACUUGGCUGAAAUUCUGAUUGUUUCAGGUUAAUCAGCAAGAUGUUCUGUGGACCACAUUAAUGGCUUCAACCUCCAAAGUACA
RNAcentral lists this long non-coding RNA (323 nucleotides) under Chloebia gouldiae (Gouldian finch). Its description in RNAcentral is "Erythrura gouldiae (Gouldian finch) lncRNA (ENSEGOG00005013539.1)". Lineage: Eukaryota; Metazoa; Chordata; Aves; Passeriformes; Passeridae. The record is from RNAcentral.